AGCUCCAAUAGCAUAUACCAAUUCUGUUGCGGUUAAAAAGCUCGUAGUUGGAUCUCAACGGGCUGGGGGCGGUUCGUUGUUUGACGUUACUGCCCCAGCUGCCCGUGUUUUUGGCGGAGGUCCCAGGGUGCUCUUAACCGAGUGUCCUGGGGCGCCGUCAGGUUUACUUUGAAAAAAUUAGAGUGCUCAAAGCAGGCUUUACACGCUUGAAUAUUCGUGCAUGGAAUAAUAGAAUAGGACGUCGUUUCUAUUUUGUUGGUUUUCUGAAAUCGACGUAAUGAUUAAUAGGGACAGUCGGGGGCAUUAGUAUUCAGACGACAGAGGUGAAAUUCUUGGACCGUCUGAAGACUAACUACUGCGAAAGCAUUUGCCAAGAAUGUUUUCA
RNAcentral lists this ribosomal RNA (385 nucleotides) under uncultured eukaryote. RNAcentral's name for it is "SSU rRNA". It matches the Rfam family "Eukaryotic small subunit ribosomal RNA", at positions 587 to 972 of the family's 1831-position model. The record is from RNAcentral.